GUACCUACCCCAAAGUCUAAACGCUAGGUGCCUACUUCAACGCCUGCUUCAACAAUGAAGAAAGAACCAACAAUCCACUCUCGUGCGGAGUACACAUCCAUGAGCAGAAAAGUGAGUGUAAAGACAGUUAUUAAGUGUCGACGCUAGACGAGCCUCCGAGAUGAACAUUUAUUUACCGUCUAAGUGCACACAUUAUCAACAACUCCUGGGCCGCUUCGAACUCGAUGCCGCUGACAUCACCCGUAAACAUCGGUUGCCAACGCUAAAGAAAGUUGCUUCGAACGGAUUCCAUUUCCUGUGUUGCCUAGGUCUUCCAGGGCAUCAAGGGCAUACCGGGAAGGGGCUGCUUUCCGCCGGACCGGCCCCCAAACUUCUCACCUCGGUUCGUACCCUCGACCCGAAAAGUCAGCGAACGGGGUUUUUUCCCAAUCCAAUGAACGGUGGAAGUAUUUUCACGUUAGAAGAAGCUUCAGAGAUCCAAGUGUUGGUUCUCCGCAGUGCCAUUCCGCAGCUGCAAACAUCAAUUUCGACCACCAACACCAGCAAUCGAUCGCUAUUGUGUUGUCGGCUAUUAUUCUCGGGCAACUCACAAACGCAAUAGCGAUGAUCAUGAUGAUUUGAAUCUUUUUUUAUGGCUGUCACCAAAAUCAUUUAUAAUUUAUUUUAUUUCACCUUGCUCCUGCCAAGAAGUUGUGCUCCUGGAGCAAAAAGGCACUUCGUUUCGUUCAGCAGAUAUUCGGUAACGUUCCACAAUACCCUUUUCGCGUAAGUAAAAGAACGAAGAAGCAAAAGGGUACGCCAUGAAACCACUUUUGCACUACCAAGUAUAUUGGCCGGAUGUUGAUCUUUGGGAAAGGAGCUUACUUUUGGGGAGUUUUCAUCAACCCAUCGACCUUGCGGAUGAUUGAAGGCAAAGAAGCAGCAAAUCAAUAAAGAGCCUUGAUUUUA
Molecule: long non-coding RNA, 948 nt
Organism: Anopheles merus
Lineage: Eukaryota; Metazoa; Arthropoda; Insecta; Diptera; Culicidae
Exons: 3
Source: RefSeq, a predicted model, not a curated record